AAGAAAUUUGGAGUUACAAAGAGACACAAGGAAGAAGGUCAUGUAAUGACAGAGGCAGAGAUUGGAGUUACGGGGUCACAAGCCAAGUAAGGCCAAGGAUUGCAAGCCACAAGCUGGGAAGAGACAAUACAGGACUCCUCCCUUCAGAGGGAGCAUGGCUCAGCCAACGCCUUGAUUUUGGACUUGUAGCCUCCAGAACGGUCAUCAUUUGUAUCAUCAGAACGAGAAACCAAGAAUGAGUCACAGACAAGAGGAAAUGAAGACAAUUGUAGCACAGUUUAUAUGUCAGAUUUGUGGUGCCAAGUCCUUUACAAGCCUUUUACAUGUGUUCUGGUAUUUUGCUAAUGUAGCUACAAUAUCUCCAGGGCCUUAACAUCCUUUCUUUCGUCUCUCAAAUGACCUAUAAAAGAUGGUUAGAAGAACAUAGAAUAAAAAAAGAAAAUGAC
Long non-coding RNA from Felis catus (domestic cat), 446 nucleotides. RefSeq lists it as uncharacterized. The transcript is spliced from 2 exons. Lineage: Eukaryota; Metazoa; Chordata; Mammalia; Carnivora; Felidae. The record is from RefSeq and is a predicted model, not a curated record.